CGGGGUAUAGUAUAGUGGCAGUACGCACGCUUCGGGUGCGUGUGGUCUCGGUUCGAUUCCGAGUACCCCGA
RNAcentral lists this transfer RNA (71 nucleotides) under Candidatus Azambacteria bacterium. RNAcentral describes it as "tRNA-Pro". It matches the Rfam family "tRNA". Rfam says of the family: Transfer RNA (tRNA) molecules are approximately 80 nucleotides in length. The record is from RNAcentral. Lineage: Bacteria; Candidatus Azamiibacteriota.